GACGAUUAUGUGCACCGAAUUGGCAGGACAGGUCGUGCUGGCAAGUCAGGAUUAGCAACUGCUUUCUUUAAUGAAGGUAAUCUUUCAAUGGCUAAACCCCUAGCUGACCUGAUGCAAGAAGCUAAUCAGGAGGUACCUGAAUGGCUGACUCGUUAUGCUAUCCGUUCAUACGGAGGAGGUAGAAACAAGCGGUCUGGUGGAGGGCCUGAAUGGCUGACUCGUUAUGCUAGCCGUUCAUACGGAGGAGGUAGAAACAAGCGGUCUGGUGGAGGCCGUUUUGGUGGGCGUGACUUCAGGAGGGAUUCCUCUUACAUAAGAAGUGGUGGAGGUGGUGCGAGUUAC
Molecule: long non-coding RNA, 342 nt
Filed under: Nicotiana benthamiana
Lineage: Eukaryota; Viridiplantae; Streptophyta; Magnoliopsida; Solanales; Solanaceae
Description: long non-coding RNA (NBEN_LNC008890)
Source: RNAcentral